Molecule: ribosomal RNA, 31 nt
Filed under: Dactylella tenuifusaria
Lineage: Eukaryota; Fungi; Ascomycota; Orbiliomycetes; Orbiliales; Orbiliaceae
Description: partial 28S large subunit ribosomal RNA
Source: RNAcentral
UGACCUCAGAUCAGUCGAGAUGCUAAUCAAA